CUUCUUAUCGACUUGCUUGGUUGUAGACGCCUUAUAUACUGCAGGUGUAUGGCGGGUCUGUGCACGUACCGGUUAUGCUUCCGCUGGUACCCGGGCGUGACACUAAAUCACAUAUAAAUCCAUUUCUAAAUCUCAACUCCUUUAAAAUUCCAUCAAAAUCACCUGUCCUAGAAACUACUGACAAAAUCUUAUCAUAGAAAUGCCAACGAGAAAACAAUAUUAAUAUAAUACCAACUUCGCUAUUGAAGCGACCGGAAAAAUCACACGUGCGCGCGGUCUCGAUCAGCUCAUCAAAUACCAAGAUCCCUUCUUUUCUCUCCCUCUUUCUCUCUCUAAAACGUAAUGUGGAGGAGAUGGGAAUGAAGAAGAAUGCCCAGGUGCACUACUGUAACACCCCAUACUUUUAAACUUCUUGUUUUGACUCCUAUUCUUUUGAAACUUGGACCUUUUUGUAAAUAUUAUGAGUACGGGAGCUUGGCGGCAUAUUGUUUAUUUAAUCCUUAAUCUAAUUAAGUUCUUUUUUCCUUUUCUUUUCAUUCCGGAUGAACCCCCCAACCCGAUCGAUCCCUCUUUUUUUCCCUCUUCCGUACGACUCCCUCUCUCUCUCCUUCUUCACCGCGUCGUACGCCUCUGCUCCGCACGUGCGCGCGUGACGCCAUCCGAUCGUCGACAUCAUCCGUAGCCGCCUCCGCCGCAAUCCUCUUU
RNAcentral lists this long non-coding RNA (705 nucleotides) under Ananas comosus (pineapple). RNAcentral describes it as "long non-coding RNA (ACOM_LNC016932)". The record is from RNAcentral. Lineage: Eukaryota; Viridiplantae; Streptophyta; Magnoliopsida; Poales; Bromeliaceae.